This 77-nucleotide transfer RNA is filed under the name Alkaliphilus pronyensis. RNAcentral's name for it is "Alkaliphilus sp. LacV tRNA-Arg". It matches the Rfam family "tRNA". Rfam says of the family: Transfer RNA (tRNA) molecules are approximately 80 nucleotides in length. Their secondary structure includes four short double-helical elements and three loops (D, anti-codon, and T loops). Lineage: Bacteria; Bacillati; Bacillota; Clostridia; Peptostreptococcales; Natronincolaceae. The record is from RNAcentral.
GUUUCCGUAGCUCAGCAGGAUAGAGCAACUGCCUCCUAAGCAGUAGGCCGUGGGUUCGACUCCCGCCGGGAACGCCA